GGAUAACUUACCCUUAGGACUGGGAUAACUCUGGGAAACUGGGGAUAAUACUGGAUAUUAGGCUAUGCCUGGAAUGGUUUGCCUUUGAAAUGUUUUUUCGCCUAAGGAUAGGUCUGCGGCUGAUUAGGUCGUUGGUGGGGUAAUGGCCCACCAAGCCGAUGAUCGGUACGGGUUGUGAGAGCAAGGGCCCGGAGAUGGAACCUGAGACAAGGUUCCAGACCCUACGGGGUGCAGCAGGCGCGAAACCUCCGCAAUGUACGAAAGUGCGACGGGGGGAUCCCAAGUGUUAUGCUUUUUUGUAUGACUUUCCAUUAGUGUAAAAAGCUUUUAGAAUAAGAGCUGGGCAAGACCGGUGCCAGCCGCCGCGGUAACACCGGCAGCUCGAGUGGUAGCUGUUUUUAUUGGGCCUAAAGCGUUCGUAGCCGGUUUGAUAAGUCUUUGGUGAAAGCUUGUAGCUUAACUAUAAGAAUUGCUGGAGAUACUAUUAGACUUGAAGUCGGGAGAGGUUAGAGGUACUACCGGGGUAGGGGUGAAAUCCUAUAAUCCUGGGAGGACCACCUGUGGCGAAGGCGUCUAACUGGAACGAUCUUGACGGUGAGUAACGAAAGCCAGGGGCGCGAACCGGAUUAGAUACCCGGGUAGUCCUGGCCGUAAACGAUGUGGACUUGGUGUUGGAAUGGCUUUGAGUUGUUCCGGUGCCGAAGGGAAGCUGUUAAGUCCACCGCCUGGGAAGUACGGUCGCAAGACUGAAA
RNAcentral lists this ribosomal RNA (752 nucleotides) under uncultured archaeon. Its description in RNAcentral is "bacterial SSU rRNA". It matches the Rfam family "Archaeal small subunit ribosomal RNA", at positions 102 to 854 of the family's 1478-position model. The record is from RNAcentral.